RNAcentral lists this ribosomal RNA (253 nucleotides) under uncultured bacterium. Its description in RNAcentral is "partial 16S ribosomal RNA". It matches the Rfam family "Bacterial small subunit ribosomal RNA", at positions 524 to 776 of the family's 1533-position model. The record is from RNAcentral.
UACGAAGGGUGCAAACGUUGCUCGGAAUUAUUGGGCGUAAAGGGCGCGUAGGCGGCCUUCUAAGUCGAACGUGAAAUCCCCGGGCUCAACCCGGGAACUGCGUCCGAUACUGGAAGGCUUGAAUCCGGGAGAGGGAUGCGGAAUUCCAGGUGUAGCGGUGAAAUGCGUAGAUAUCUGGAGGAACACCGGUGGCGAAGGCGGCAUCCUGGACCAAUUCUGACGCUGAGGAGCGAAAGCCAGGGGAGCAAACGGG